Molecule: ribosomal RNA, 466 nt
Filed under: uncultured bacterium
Lineage: Bacteria
Description: partial 16S ribosomal RNA
Rfam family: Bacterial small subunit ribosomal RNA
Source: RNAcentral
GAUGAACGCUGGCGGCGUGCUUAACACAUGCAAGUCGAACGGAAAGGCCCAAGCUUGCUUGGAUACUCGAGUGGCGAACGGGUGAGUAACACGUGGGCGAUCUGCCCUUCACUUCGGGCUAAGCCUGGGCAACUGGGUCUCAUACCGGAUAGGACCACAUUUCGUAUGGGGUGGUGGAAAGUUUUUCGGUGUGGGGUGAGCUCGCGGCCUGUCAGCUUGUUGUUGGGGUAAUGGCCUACCAAGGCGUCGACGGGUAGCCGGCCCUAGAGGGUGUACGGCCACAUUGGGCAUGCGAUUAGGCGCAGACGCCGAGGGGAGGAAGCAGUGGGGAACAUUGCACUAAGGGCGCCAGGCUGAGGGCGGGACGCCGGGUGGAGGGUGACGGCCUUCGGGUUAUGAGCUCCUAACGCUAGGGACGAGGCGGUUUGUGAAGGUACCGGGUGAAGAAGCACCGGCUAACUACGUG